CCACUGAUAUAAUUAUUAAAUGGCUGCAGUAUUUUAACUGUACAAAGGUAGCAUAAUCAGUAGUYUUUUAAUUGAAGACUUGKAUGAAUGAUUGAACGAGAUAUAAACUGUCUUAAGAAAAAUAAUUUGAAUUUUAUUUUUUAGUUAAAAAGCUAAACUAAUUUUAAAAGACGAGAAGACCCUAUAGAUCUUUAUAAAAAUAUUAUUUAUUUUGUAAAGUUUAUAAUUUAAAUUUAUAUUUAUUUUUAUUUUAUUGGGGUGAUAUUGAAAUUUAAUUAACUUUCAUUAGUUAUUAAACAUUAAUUUAUGAUUAAUUGAUCCUUUAUUAUUGAUUAAAAAUUUAAGUUACCUUAGGGAUAACAGCGUAAUUAUUUUGGAGAGUUCUUAUUGAUAAAAUAGAUUGCGACCUCGAUGUUGGAUUAAGAUUAAUUCUGGGUGUAGCAGUUCAGAAUAUUAAGUCUGUUCGACUUUUAAUUUCU
Molecule: ribosomal RNA, 479 nt
Filed under: Sigmatineurum sp. n. D KRG-2016
Lineage: Eukaryota; Metazoa; Arthropoda; Insecta; Diptera; Dolichopodidae
Description: partial 16S ribosomal RNA
Rfam family: Bacterial large subunit ribosomal RNA (bases 356-479)
Source: RNAcentral